GACGGGAGGCAGGAAGUAGCAGCUGGGUCGGUACGUUCCCUAGAAGUGCCAGGUAGUCCUGAGGCCACAGUGGAGGCAGGAAGUAGCAGCUGGGUCGGUACGUUCCCUAGAAGUGCCAGGUAGUCCUGAGGCCACAGUGGCGGGAGGCAGGAAGUAGCAGCUGGGUCGGUACGUUCCCUAGAAGUGCCAGGUAGUCCUGAGGCCACGGUGGCGGGAGGCAGGAAGUAGCAGCUGGGUCGGUACGUUCCCUAGAAGUGCCAGGUAGUCCUGAGGCCACAGUGGAGGCAGGAAGUAGCAGCUGGGUCGGUACGUUCCCUAGAAGUGCCAGGUAGUCCUGAGGCCACAGUGGAGGCAGGAAGUAGCAGCUGGGUCGGUACGUUCCCUAGAAGUGCCAGGUAGUCCUGAGGCCACAGUGGAGGCAGGAAGUAGCAGCUGGGUCGGUACGUUCCCUAGAAGUGCCAGGUAGUCCUGAGGCCACAGUGGCGGGAGGCAGGAAGUAGCAGCUGGGUCGGUACGUUCCCUAGAAGUGCCAGGUAGUCCUGAGGCCACGGUGGCGGGAGGCAGGAAGUAGCAGCUGGGUCGGUACGUUCCCUAGAAGUGCCAGGUAGUCCUGAGGCCACAGUGGCGGGAGGCAGGAAGUAGCAGCUGGGUCGGUAUGUUCCCUAGA
This is a long non-coding RNA of Oncorhynchus keta (chum salmon), 667 nucleotides long. RefSeq lists it as uncharacterized. The transcript is spliced from 4 exons. Lineage: Eukaryota; Metazoa; Chordata; Actinopteri; Salmoniformes; Salmonidae. The record is from RefSeq and is a predicted model, not a curated record.